This 253-nucleotide ribosomal RNA is filed under the name uncultured bacterium. Its description in RNAcentral is "partial 16S ribosomal RNA". It matches the Rfam family "Bacterial small subunit ribosomal RNA", at positions 524 to 776 of the family's 1533-position model. The record is from RNAcentral.
UACGGAGGGUGCAAGCGUUAUCCGGAUUCACUGGGUUUAAAGGGUGCGCAGGCGGUUAUAUAAGACAGAUGUGAAAUCCCCGGGCUCAACCUGGGAACUGCGUUUGUGACUGUAUGACUAGAGUACGGUAGAGAGGGGUGGAAUUCCUGGUGUAGCAGUGAAAUGCGUAGAUAUCAGGAGGAACAUCGAUGGCGAAGGCAGCCCCCUGGGUCAAGAUUGACGCUCAUGCACGAAAGCGUGGGGAGCAAACAGG